Molecule: ribosomal RNA, 776 nt
Filed under: uncultured bacterium
Lineage: Bacteria
Description: bacterial SSU rRNA
Rfam family: Bacterial small subunit ribosomal RNA
Source: RNAcentral
AGAGUUUGAUCCUGGCUCAGAAUCAACGCUGGCGGCGUGCCUCAGACAUGCAAGUCGAACGAUUAAACUUUUCUUCGGAGAAGAUAUAAAGUGGCGCACGGGUGAGUAACACGUAGGUAAUCUACCUUUGAGUGGGGAAUAACGUUCGGAAACGAACGCUAAUACCGCAUAAUGCAGCGGCACCGCAAGGUGACAGUUGUUAAAGGAGCAAUCCGCUUAAAGAGGAGCCUGCGGCAGAUUAGCUAGUUGGUAAGGUAAUGGCUUACCAAGGCUACGAUCUGUAACCGACCUGAGAGGGUGGUCGGUCACACUGACACUGAAUAACGGGUCAGACUCCUACGGGAGGCAGCAGUCGGGAAUUUUGGGCAAUGGGCGAAAGCCUGACCCAGCAACGCCGCGUGAAGGAUGAAGUAUUUCGGUAUGUAAACUUCGAAAGAAUGGGAAGAAUAAAUGACGGUACCAUUUAUAGGGUCCGGCUAACUACGUGCCAGCAGCCGCGGUAAUACGUAGGGACCAAGCGUUGUUCGGAUUUACUGGGCGUAAAGGGCGCGUAGGCGGCGUGUUAAGUCAGCUGUGAAAUCUCCGAGCUUAACUCGGAACGGUCAGCUGAUACUGAUGUGCUAGAGUGCAGAAGGGGCAAUCGGAAUUCUUGGUGUAGCGGUGAAAUGCGUAGAGAUCAGGAAGAACAUCGGUGGCGAAGGCGCUCUGCUGGACCAUAACUGACACUCAGGGACGAAAGCUAGGGGAGCGAAUGGGAUUAGAUACCCCCGUAGUCC